UACGUAGGGUGCGAGCGUUAAUCGGAAUUACUGGGCGUAAAGCGUGCGCAGGCGGUCCGCAAAGUCUGAUGUGAAAGCCCCGGGCUCAACCUGGGAACUGCAUUGGAAACUAACGGGCUCGAGUGUGGCAGAGGGGGGUGGAAUUCCACGUGUAGCAGUGAAAUGCGUAGAGAUGUGGAGGAACACCGAUGGCGAAGGCAGCCUUCUGGGCCAACACUGACGCUCAUGCACGAAAGCGUGGGGAGCAAACAGG
This 253-nucleotide ribosomal RNA is filed under the name uncultured bacterium. RNAcentral describes it as "partial 16S ribosomal RNA". It matches the Rfam family "Bacterial small subunit ribosomal RNA", at positions 524 to 776 of the family's 1533-position model. The record is from RNAcentral.